UACGGAGGGUGCGAGCGUUGUCCGGAAUCAUUGGGCGUAAAGGGCGCGUAGGUGGCUUCUUAAGCGUGCGGUGAAAGCCUGGGGCUCAACCCCGGGUCGGCCGUGCGAACUGGGGGGCUGGAGCACUGUAGAGGCAGGCGGAAUUCCGGGUGUAGCGGUGGAAUGCGUAGAGAUCCGGAAGAACACCGGUGGCGAAGGCGGCCUGCUGGGCAGUUGCUGGACGCUGAGGAGGCGAAAGCGUGGGGAGCGAACAGG
RNAcentral lists this ribosomal RNA (255 nucleotides) under uncultured bacterium. Its description in RNAcentral is "partial 16S ribosomal RNA". It matches the Rfam family "Bacterial small subunit ribosomal RNA", at positions 524 to 776 of the family's 1533-position model. The record is from RNAcentral.